GGAGGGGUGCAAGCGUUAAUCGGAAUUACUGGGCGUAAAGCGCACGCAGGCGGUUUGUUAAGUCAGAUGUGAAAUCCCCCGGGCUCAACCUGGGAACUGCAUCUGAUACUGGCAAGCUUGAGUCUCGUAGAGGGGGGUAGAAUUCCAGGUGUAGCGGUGAAAUGCGUAGAGAUCUGGAGGAAUACCGGUGGCGAAGGCGGCCCCCUGGACGAAGACUGACGCUCAGGUGCGAAAGCGUGGGGAGCAAACAGGAUUAGAUACCCUGGUAGUCCACGCCGUAAACGAUGUCGACUUGGAGGUUGUGCCCUUGAGGCGUGGCUUCCGGAGCUAACGCGUUAAGUCGACCGCCUGGGGAGUACGGCCGCAAGGUUA
RNAcentral lists this ribosomal RNA (372 nucleotides) under uncultured organism. RNAcentral's name for it is "partial 16S ribosomal RNA". It matches the Rfam family "Bacterial small subunit ribosomal RNA", at positions 526 to 896 of the family's 1533-position model. The record is from RNAcentral.